This 481-nucleotide ribosomal RNA is filed under the name uncultured bacterium. RNAcentral's name for it is "bacterial SSU rRNA". It matches the Rfam family "Bacterial small subunit ribosomal RNA", at positions 21 to 518 of the family's 1533-position model. The record is from RNAcentral.
GGCUCAGGACGAACGCUGGCGGCGUGCCUAACACAUGCAAGUCGAGCGAGGAGAUUCCUUCGGGAUGAUCCUAGCGGCGGACGGGUGAGUAACACGUGGGCAACCUGCCUCAUAGAGAGGAAUAGCCUUCCGAAAGGGAGAUUAAUACCUCAUAACAUUGCAGUUUCGCAUGGAACAGCAAUUAAAGGAGUAAUCCGCUAUGAGAUGGGCCCGCGGCGCAUUAGCUAGUUGGUGAGGUAACGGCUCACCAAGGCGACGAUGCGUAGCCGACCUGAGAGGGUGAUCGGCCACAUUGGGACUGAGACACGGCCCAGACCCCUACGGGAGGCAGCAGUGGGGAAUAUUGCACAAUGGGGGAAACCCUGAUGCCAGCAACGCCGCGUGAGUGAUGACGGCCUUCGGGUUGUAAAGCUCUGUCUUCAGGGACGAUAAUGACGGUACCUGAGGAGGAAGCCACGGCUAACUACGUGCCAGCCGCCGC